GACGAACGCUGGCGGCGUGCUUAACACAUGCAAGUCGAACGGAAAGGCCCCUUUGGGGGUACUCGAGUGGCGAACGGGUGAGUAACACGUGAGUAACCUGCCCUUGCCUUCGGGAUAACUUCAGGAAACUGGGGCUAAUACCGGCUCGGAAUCCUUGCUGCAUGGUGGGGGUUGGAAAGCUUCGGCGGUUUUGGAUGGACUGGCGGCUUAUCAGCUUGUUGGUGGGGUAGUGGCUUACCAAGGCUUUGUCGGGUAGCCGGCCCGAGAGGGCGACCGGCCACAUUGGGACCGAGAGACGGCCCAGGCUCCGAAGGGAGGCAGAAGUGGGGAAGAUUGCACAAUGGGCGGAAGCCGGAUGCAGAAACGCCGCGUGCGGGAUGACGGCCUUCGGGUUGGAGAACGCUUUCAGCAGGGGCGAAGCUUGUGGUGACGGUACCUGCAGAAGAAGCACCGGCUAACUACGUG
RNAcentral lists this ribosomal RNA (465 nucleotides) under uncultured bacterium. RNAcentral's name for it is "partial 16S ribosomal RNA". It matches the Rfam family "Bacterial small subunit ribosomal RNA", at positions 28 to 507 of the family's 1533-position model. The record is from RNAcentral.